GAAAUGCGAUAAGUAGUGUGAAUUACAGAAUUCUGUGAAUCAUCGAAUCUUUGAACGCACAUUGCGCCCCUUGGUAUUCCAUGGGGCAUGCCUGUUCGAGCGUCAUUUGUACCCUCAAGCUCUGCUUGGUGUUGGGUGUUUGUCCCGUCUCCGCGCGUGGACUCGCCCCAAAGUGAUUGGCAGCCGGCGUACUGGUCCCGGAGCGCAGCACAUGUCGCGCAAACGAGUGCCUUGGUACGGCGGCGUCCAUAAGCCCCUCUCUCACGCUCUUGACCUCGGAUCAGGUAGGGAUACCCGCUGAACUUAAGC
Molecule: unclassified non-coding RNA, 309 nt
Filed under: plant metagenome
Description: partial contains 5.8S ribosomal RNA, internal transcribed spacer 2, and large subunit ribosomal RNA
Rfam family: 5.8S ribosomal RNA (bases 1-105)
Source: RNAcentral